GGCCUAUUAGCUCAGUUUGAUAGAGCGUUGUGCUAAUAACGCAAAGCUCGCAGGUUUGACACCUGCAUGGGCCA
Cucurbita maxima (winter squash) is the source of this 74-nucleotide non-coding RNA. Lineage: Eukaryota; Viridiplantae; Streptophyta; Magnoliopsida; Cucurbitales; Cucurbitaceae. The record is from the annotation of a RefSeq genome assembly.